RNAcentral lists this ribosomal RNA (753 nucleotides) under uncultured archaeon. Its description in RNAcentral is "bacterial SSU rRNA". It matches the Rfam family "Archaeal small subunit ribosomal RNA", at positions 102 to 856 of the family's 1478-position model. The record is from RNAcentral.
GGACAACCUACCCUCAGGUCGGGGAUAAACCCGGGAAACUGGGUAUAAUACCCGAUAGAUCUCGGCUGCUGGAAUGCAUCGAGCUCUAAAGCUCCGGCGCCUGAGGAUGGGUCUGCGGCCUAUCAGGUAGUAGUGGGUGUAGCGUACCUACUAGCCUACGACGGGUACGGGUUGUGAGAGCAAGAGCCCGGAGAUGGAUUCUGAGACACGAAUCCAGGCCCUACGGGGUGCAGCAGGCGCGAAAACUUUACAAUGCCGGCAACGGCGAUAAGGGGACCUCGAGUGCCAGGUUACAAAUCUGGCUGUCGUAAUGCCUAAAAAGCAUUGCAUAGCAAGGGCCGGGCAAGACCGGUGCCAGCCGCCGCGGUAACACCGGCGGCUCGAGUGGUAACCGUUAUUAUUGGGUCUAAAGGGUCUGUAGCCGGCCGGAUAAGUCUCUUGGGAAAUCCAGCAGCUUAACUGUUGGGCUUUCAGGAGAUACUGUCUGGCUCGAGGCCGGGAGAGGUGAGAGGUACUUCAGGGGUAGGGGUGAAAUCUUGUAAUCCUUGAAGGACCACCAGUGGCGAAGGCGUCUCACCAGAACGGACCUGACGGCAAGGGACGAAAGCUAGGGGCACGAACCGGAUUAGAUACCCGGGUAGUCCUAGCCGUAAACGAUACUCGCUAGGUGUCGGCCACGGUGCGACCGUUGUCGGUGCCGUAGGGAAGCCGUGAAGCGAGCCACCUGGGAAGUACGGCCGCAAGGCUGAAACU